GACGAACGCUGGCGGCGUGCUUAACACAUGCAAGUCGAACGGAAAGUCCCUGCUUUUGUGGGGUGCUCGAGUGGCGAACGGGUGAGUAACACGUGAGUAACCUGCCCUUGACUUUGGGAUAACUUCAGGAAACUGGGGCUAAUACCGGAUAGGAGCUCCUGCUGCAUGGUGGGGGUUGGAAAGUUUCGGCGGUUGGGGAUGGACUCGCGGCUUAUCAGCUUGUUGGUGGGGUAGUGGCUUACCAAGGCUUUGACGGGUAGCCGGCCUGAGAGGGUGACCGGCCACAUUGGGACUGAGCUACGGCCCAGACUCCUACGGGAGGCAGCAGUGGGGAAUAUUGCACAAUGGGCGGAAGCCUGAUGCAGCACCGCCGCGUGCGGGAUGACGGCCUUCGGGUUGUAAACCGCUUUCGCCUGUGACGAAGCGUGAGUGACGGUAAUGGGUAAAGAAGCACCGGCUAACUACGUG
RNAcentral lists this ribosomal RNA (468 nucleotides) under uncultured bacterium. RNAcentral describes it as "partial 16S ribosomal RNA". It matches the Rfam family "Bacterial small subunit ribosomal RNA", at positions 28 to 507 of the family's 1533-position model. The record is from RNAcentral.